UCUGUAAGCCCUUGAGCUCAGCUGCACAGGUCACAGUCAGACGGGCACAAAACUUCAACCAGCCGUUUCUCUGCCUGGAAGCGGCGAACAUGUAACCUGGACGGGCCAUGCUAAUUCCUAGUGAUGGUGAUCAGGACAAACGUAGUCCCUGCAUCCAAGAACCUACAGACAAGCAGGAGGAGUAUACAGAUGAAGAACGACCACAUCGAAGGCUAAGCAAGCCUGCUCUGCUCUCUAGGGCUACAGAGCCAGGUCUCAGAAGGCUUUGGGGAUAAGCUGACCCUCAAAGACCAGGAGAAAAGAUCACAACUGGUGAAGGAACAGAGGAGGGCAUUCCAAGCAUGGCAAUCACACAUACAAGUGCAAAGAGGCAUGAAGCCGCACGAGGGACUUCAAGGAGGAGGCUGGAUGGGGACACAUACCAUGAGUGACAUCUUACCAGAGGGUGGCCAUGAACUUCAUCAUGUUCCACAACUGUUAAUGACCACUGGCGCUGGCCCUGCUGCUCUCUGAACUCCUCUCUGUGGAACUGUGCCCCUUCUCUGGGAAGAGUCCUUGAAGCUCUACUGAGAAUGAAACCUCUUCUUUCAGCUCAUGUCAAUCUUGGUAUUUUCCCAACAUGUUCAGGUUCUGGCUUGGAGGUGCUAUCUGUUGUUGACUUUGGACAUAAACGAAGCUGUUAUUUGCCUCUUUUGGUUUGUUAUGUUAACAAGCUUUUGGGAUUUGUUCUUUAAGAUUCCCCACCCCUAUUGUAUGAUGAUAGGUGCUGGAACCAGACUGGUUGGGUUCAAAUUUUUGCUGUCGCUAACUUGCUUUGUGAACACAUGUCAGUUACUGAAUCUCCCCGUGCCUCAGUUUUUUAAAUAUGUAAACAGGGAGUUCUCGUAGUACCCGUGGGUCUUAGUCAGUUAUUGCUAUAGAACAAACCACCCCCAGACUUAGUAACAUCAACAACAAC
This 958-nucleotide long non-coding RNA is filed under the name Homo sapiens (human). RNAcentral's name for it is "long non-coding RNA NONHSAT192327.1". Lineage: Eukaryota; Metazoa; Chordata; Mammalia; Primates; Hominidae. The record is from RNAcentral.